UAAGAAUUUAAAAGUCGAACAGACUUAUUACUAAGAGCUCUACCUCUUAUAAUUUUCUUAAUUCAACAUCGAGGUCGCAAAAUAUAAUAUAGAUAUGAACUCCCCAUUAAAAUUACGCUGUUAUCCCUAAGGUAACUUAAUCUUAUUAUCCUAAGUAUGAAUACACAUAGGGAUCUAAAAUUACACAAAUUAAUGAAUUUUUAAACUAAAGUUAAAUUAUUUAGUUACCACCCCAGCAAAAUAUAAGUUAAUAUUAUCAAAUAUACAAUAUAAAAUCUAAUAAAACAAACUUAUAUAAAGUUCUAUAGGGUCUUAUCGUCCCAAUAAUUUAUUAAAGCAUUUUGACUUUAAAUUUAAAUUUUAAUAUUUAAACAAAUAAAAUAUAUUUCUCAUACAUCCUUUCAUUCAAGCUUCCAAUUAAGAAACUAUUUACUAUGCUACCUUUGCACAGUCAAAAUACUGCAGCCAUUUAGAAAUCUUUCCAUAGGGCAGAAGGUACUUUUUAUAAAAACA
RNAcentral lists this ribosomal RNA (513 nucleotides) under Nesophrosyne maritima. RNAcentral describes it as "partial 16S ribosomal RNA". Lineage: Eukaryota; Metazoa; Arthropoda; Insecta; Hemiptera; Cicadellidae. The record is from RNAcentral.